GUGAAGGAUACAGAUCCAUUGGAAAUUGUUUUUAUAGAUAAAUUGCCUCAACAAGAUCAGUGUGACUGCGGUGUAUUCGUUAUAAAGUAUGCUGAAUACUUUAUACAUGAAAUGAUCAACAAUGUCCCCAAAACUUUGAAUAUGGAUUUCGUCCGAAAGAAGAUGUGCGUUGAGCUUUUUGUGCAUGCUAUGAAGAAGGAGUUGAAUGGAUAUGAAUCUGGUUCAGAGUUUACUGGGAAGAUGCCCAAAGCUACUAGGGGAGCUUUGAAGAUUGGAUGAUUAGUGUUACAAUUACUAUCGUUUAGUUUAGACUGUUAUUUUGUGGUUUCCUGAUGUUUUGUAAUUAGCACUUGUAGUAUUUUGCAAACUUUAACAUGUAGUUUUUGGUUUUAUGUAACUGUUGUGUGUUGUGGAACACUUAAUUAGGUGGUAUACGGACCUUGUAUGUUGUGGAACAUUAUUUUGUGUAAAUGAAACUUUUGUGUACUUAAGAAACUAAUUAGUUUACUUUUUUCAAUUGAUGAUUAGUUUACUUUUUCAAUUGAUGAUCAAUCUAAUUAAAAUGGAUUUUUUUUUUCAGGAAACAAAUCACUAUCAUCAGAUAUUUUUCUUGUUUACAUAUCGAUAUGAGAGGGUAACAGGUACAUUUUUUUUUAUAAUUGGUGUGAGGAUACGAAUAGGUAAUAGAUAUAUUAAUUUUUUUUUUAUUUUUUAAAAAAUUGCAUAUUAAUUUUCAUUUGAAGAUCAUUAUAAGAAAAUAUAAAACCUGAAAUGGAUGGAUAUGGGUAACAUGUUUGUUUAUUUUUUUGACAUGUUUUUGUUUUUGUAAAAUCAGAGGAACCAUUAUGUUCAUAAUAGUCCAAGACAUAGUACUAAUGUAGUACUUAUUACUUUAAGUAUCAAAUGUUGUGAAAAAAUGCUAUUUUUUUUUAAGUACUGAUGUUCUUUCUCUUUCGGGUUGGCUUUGGAACUGGUUCAUUUUUGCACGAUCUUUUGUUGUGUCCUUUUUGGUUGCAUGAUCCACAUUUGACCUGUGUUUUUGUUUCCAGCACACCUUUGUACCUUUGUUUUUUUGGCCGCCCUGCUGGCCUCUUGUGUGUUGGGGGUAGAACAAUCAUAUCUUUUAUAUGAUCCGGUAUAUCCCAAGUUGUAGAAUCUGCUAGUGGGAAGAUAUUAUCUUCAUAUGUUGACAAAAAAGCCUUUUUUGUGUAGUAGUAAGAGCAGUAGCUGUAGCAUGAUAGAUUCCUUUUGGUUAACACAGCCAUUGCAUGUGAGCAAGGCAUUUCAUCAUAUUCAAAUUUCUGACAGCUGCAUGUUUUUUUUUCCAGGUUUACUAUGUAUGAGUCGGUACAAUCAUGUACUUUGUAUACAAUCAGGUUUGAUGUUUCCACCUGUGAAAGUAGUUAUAUUUUAGUUACAUUAUUGAUUGCAUAUAAAAAAAAAAAAUUUAAGCAUGUUUAUUGGUAUACAAACGAGUUUGAUUUUUGUUAUG
Molecule: long non-coding RNA, 1492 nt
Organism: Cannabis sativa
Lineage: Eukaryota; Viridiplantae; Streptophyta; Magnoliopsida; Rosales; Cannabaceae
Exons: 2
Source: RefSeq, a predicted model, not a curated record